AUGGAAGAAAGAGCAAAGGGAGGGGAAGGGGAAGAAGAGAGGGCAGGAGCCAUACAUUGUGGUUGCGCAAGAGUGGGGGUGAGGAGCUACAGCCGGAGAGGAGAGGGAGGAGUUGUGGCCGGAGAGGAGGAAGCUGGUGCAGAUCUGAGGAAGCUGCUGCCAGAGAUAAAGGUACACGCUGACUGCUACCGCCAUGAGAACUCAGUGACAUCCAUCGUCGGCAGAUGGCGUAACACAAUCCCGGCUUGGAAUCAAUUAUCACCCUUAAUUCAGCUCAGUUUGUUAUUACCUCUGUACUUCAAGUCUCGGUAG
This 312-nucleotide ribosomal RNA is filed under the name Triticum aestivum (bread wheat). RNAcentral describes it as "partial small subunit ribosomal RNA". Lineage: Eukaryota; Viridiplantae; Streptophyta; Magnoliopsida; Poales; Poaceae. The record is from RNAcentral.